This 772-nucleotide ribosomal RNA is filed under the name uncultured Neocallimastigales. RNAcentral's name for it is "partial large subunit ribosomal RNA". It matches the Rfam family "Eukaryotic large subunit ribosomal RNA", at positions 24 to 614 of the family's 3401-position model. Lineage: Eukaryota; Fungi; Neocallimastigomycota; Neocallimastigomycetes; Neocallimastigales. The record is from RNAcentral.
AUCUCUGUAGAGUCUGCAUAUCAAUAAGCGGAGGAAAAGAAACUAACUAGGAUUCCCUCAGUAACGGCGAGUGAAGCGGGAAGAGCUCAAAUUUGAAAUCUUCAAGGUUUUACCUUGACGAAUUGUAGUUUAAAGAAGUGUUUUCUGUUGGAGUUUUGGUAAAAGUUCUUUGGAAUAGGACAUCAUAGAGGGUGAGAAUCCCGUAUUUGACCAUUAUUUCCAGCUUUGUGAUACACUUUCAAAGAGUCGGAUUGUUUGGGAAUGCAGUCCAAAAUGGGUGGUAAAUUUCAUCUAAAGCUAAAUACUGGCGAGAGACCGAUAGCGAACAAGUACCGUGAGGGAAAGAUGAAAAGAACUUUGAAAAGAGAGUUAAACAGUACGUGAAAUUGUCAAAAGGGAAGCGUUUGACACCAGUGUUGUUUUCUCGAAAAUCAAUUAAAAAUGGCGGGAUUUUGUGUUGUAUUGACUUUAUCAGCUUUCUGCACUUUUUUCCUGUCUUUUUUAAUGCACUUUUCGUUUAACAAGUCAACAUCAAUUUCUUUUGUUGUAAAAGGGUCAUUGGAAGGUGGCUUUCUUUUCGGAGAAAGUGUUUAUAGCCUUUGGCCUCUGCAAUCGGAGAGAUUGAGGUCUGCAGCGUAGAUCCUUCGGGGUUAGAUACAUUUGUGCUAAGUUAUAGCCUUUCAUAGACAACUUGUUGACUAUGCUCAGUCAUGUAGCUUACUCGCUUAUGUAUUUUACCUACGCUUAGGAUGUUGAGUCAUCACACAUCUCU